AUUGAACGCUGGCGGCAUGCCUUACACAUGCAAGUCGAACGGCAGCACGGGUGCUUUCACCUGGUGGCGUUUGGCGCACGGGUGAGUAAUACAUCGGUACAUGUCCUGUAGUGGUGGAUAGCCCGGCGAAAGCCGGAUUAAUACCGCAUACGAUCUACUGAUGAAAUCUGGUGCCCUUCUGUCCUCUCGCUUUUCUGUUUGCCUAUGGCUGAUUAGCUAGUUGGUGGGGUAAAGUCCUACCAAGGCGACGAUCAGUAGCUGGUCGGAGAGGACGACCAGCCAAACUGGGACUGAGACACGGACAAGACACCUAAGGGAGGCAGCAGUGGGGAAUUGUGGACAAUGGGAGAAAGGAUGAAACAGCAAUGCCGCGUGAGAGAAGAAGGACUUCGGGUUGUAAAGCACUUUAGUGAGGAAAGAAAAAAUUGGAAAUAAAACGGUCGGGGGAUGACGGUACCGGAAGAAUAAGCAACGGCUAACUACGUG
RNAcentral lists this ribosomal RNA (486 nucleotides) under uncultured bacterium. RNAcentral describes it as "partial 16S ribosomal RNA". It matches the Rfam family "Bacterial small subunit ribosomal RNA", at positions 30 to 507 of the family's 1533-position model. The record is from RNAcentral.